Molecule: transfer RNA, 81 nt
Filed under: Streptomyces sp. RLB1-33
Lineage: Bacteria; Bacillati; Actinomycetota; Actinomycetes; Kitasatosporales; Streptomycetaceae
Description: tRNA-OTHER
Source: RNAcentral
GCGGACGGGGGGCAACACACUGCUAAUGCGGUUUGGGCCUUAAAGCCCAUCGAGGGUUCAAAUCCCUCCGCCUCCGCGCCA